GAUGAACGCUGGCGGCGUGCCUAAUACAUGCAAGUCGAGCGAACGGACGAGAAGCUUGCUUCUCUGAUGUUAGCGGCGGACGGGUGAGUAACACGUGGAUAACCUACCUAUAAGACUGGGAUAACUUCGGGAAACCGGAGCUAAUACCGGAUGAUAUUUUGAACCGCAUGGUUCAAAAGUGAAAGACGGUCUUGCUGUCACUUAUAGAUGGAUCCGCGCUGCAUUAGCUAGUGGGUAAGGUAACGGCUUACCAAGGCAACGAUGCAUAGCCGACCUGAGAGGGUGAUCGGCCACACUGGAACUGAGACACGGUCCAGACUCCUACGGGAGGCAGCAGUAGGGAAUCUUCCGCAAUGGGCGAAAGCCUGACGGAGCAACGCCGCGUGAGUGAUGAAGGUCUUCGGAUCGUAAAACUCUGUUAUUAGGGAAGAACAUAUGUGUAAGUAACUGUGCACAUCUUGACGGUACCUAAUCAGAAAGCCACGGCUAACUACGUG
RNAcentral lists this ribosomal RNA (497 nucleotides) under uncultured bacterium. Its description in RNAcentral is "partial 16S ribosomal RNA". It matches the Rfam family "Bacterial small subunit ribosomal RNA", at positions 28 to 507 of the family's 1533-position model. The record is from RNAcentral.